AAAGGUUGAGAACUGUUAGUAUCAAAAAAAGCGAAGAAACUUUCUUUGAGGUAUAAGGAUGAGGAGCGGAAACACGGGUUUGAAAUACAACCUGGAGGCGCGAGUUUGUACCAUCCACAUGGUCGUCUAGGUCAUCCUGCAAUCAUGAAGACAUGGCUGUGAACAGAGUCUAGAGAGCAAAGAAAGAAACAAGUGGAAGACAUGGCUGUGAACAGAGUCUAGAGAGCAAAGAAAGAAACAAGUGGCUUUGCGGUAAGAAACUAACAAUCAGUCUUGCAUGUAGGUCAAGCUCCUCAUUGACUGCCAGCGCGACGUGUUUUGCGCUCAGCACUGUCUGCUCCAG
RNAcentral lists this long non-coding RNA (343 nucleotides) under Hordeum vulgare. RNAcentral describes it as "long non-coding RNA (HVUL_LNC014716)". Lineage: Eukaryota; Viridiplantae; Streptophyta; Magnoliopsida; Poales; Poaceae. The record is from RNAcentral.